CGCAUUUGCUUCACAGUUCUGAAGACCGGGUUUGAAAUCCCAGCCCUGUCCGUGUGGAGUUUCUGUGUUCUCCCCGGGCUUGCGUGGGUAUUCUUCGGGCACUCCGGUUUCCUCCCACGUUCCAAAAACAUGUAAAGUGGGAUGGGCUCCAGUACUCCCACAACCAAUGCUCUGCCAUGCAGUUCUAUGUAUGGUGCCUGGAGGGCGCGUCUGCGUCCUCUCUCUCCCACUCUACCCUUUCUGUACGCAGCAGAUGUCAUCAAUUACCUCAUUACAUCCGAUGUAUAUCAGCCUGCCAGAUUUCCGAGAUACUCACCAAAUUAUUACAAACUCUGCUUGAGCUCCCCUAAGAUCCUGACCUACGUCAUUCCUGCAACCAAGCCAGCCACCUGUUCAGUCCACUGCCCGCCACCUAUCCAUGUGGCUGCCUGCCAACACAUCCAGGACU
This is a long non-coding RNA of Syngnathoides biaculeatus (alligator pipefish), 448 nucleotides long. RefSeq lists it as uncharacterized. NCBI's taxonomy places the organism in Eukaryota, Metazoa, Chordata, Actinopteri, Syngnathiformes, Syngnathidae. The transcript is spliced from 3 exons. The record is from RefSeq and is a predicted model, not a curated record.